RNAcentral lists this long non-coding RNA (638 nucleotides) under Anas platyrhynchos platyrhynchos (common mallard). RNAcentral's name for it is "lncRNA (ENSAPLG00000022034.1)". The record is from RNAcentral. Lineage: Eukaryota; Metazoa; Chordata; Aves; Anseriformes; Anatidae.
AAAUUUUGGAACUUUGUCUUUUUUCUUGUUAAUUUCUGCUGAUAACUCCUAUUCUAGUUGGAUUCCUAGAUCUAGUAUCUGUUUUCUUCCAUGUUUCAGUAUACAGCAAUGGGGCAAUAGAGAAUGGAUUUAUCCAGCUAUUCUGGUCAUCACAAAUAGUCCUGCCUUUGCUGAAUGGUGGGGCUGUGCUGAGUGAUGGCUUCGUUGUGGCUCUCUAAAAUCAUGGACUACUACCUGUAACAGAAUCUUUGACAAAGAUGACUAAACAUGCAUAGCAUACAUUUCCUCUGGCCUUCUGCAACAUCACAGUGGUGGAGUGGAUUUGAAAUGAUCUAUAGUUACACAUCUCUGUGUGACAGAAUAUGUCUAUUUUUCUUAUGGCCACAUUGCUGAGAACUGAGAGCACCAAAGGUCCUCCUGUUCAUGCAGUUCAUAGCUGCAUGUACCUACUCCUUCAGUGCAGGUCCAUGUAUACCCACCUCAGUGCUCUUCAACAAUUCUUCUCAGAAGUCCAUAUUCCAGCACUCCUCACAGGAUAGCUAGGAGAAAGAAAGGAAGGAAGAGUACAGGACAAGUAGCAUUCAUUAUGUGCUGUCAUUUUUAAUAAACAGUUACCUGACUCUUUUUUAACCUUUUGC